Molecule: ribosomal RNA, 503 nt
Filed under: uncultured bacterium
Lineage: Bacteria
Description: partial 16S ribosomal RNA
Rfam family: Bacterial small subunit ribosomal RNA
Source: RNAcentral
GAUGAGCGCUAGCUACAGGCUUAACACAUGCAAGUCGAGGGGCAGCAUGAACUUAGCUUGCUAAGUUUGAUGGCGACCGGCGCACGGGUGAGUAACGCGUAUCCAACCUGCCCUUGUCCACCGGAUAACCCGUCGAAAGGCGGACUAACGCGGUAUGCAGUCCACAGCAGGCAUCUAACGUGGACGAAAUGUAAAGGAGAAGGAUGGGGAUGCGUCUGAUUAGCUUGUUGGCGGGGUAACGGCCCACCAAGGCGACGAUCAGUAGGGGUUCUGAGAGGAAGGUCCCCACAUUGGAACUGAGACACGGUCCAAACUCCUACGGGAGGCAGCAGUGAGGAAUAUUGGUCAAUGGACGGAAGUCUGAACCAGCCAAGUAGCGUGCAGGAUGACGGCCCUAUGGGUUGUAAACUGCUUUUAUAUGGGGAUAAGGUGAGCCACGUGUGGCUUAUUGCAGGUACCAUAUGAAUAAGGACCGGCUAAUUCCGUGCCAGCCGCCGCGGUAA